GGUCCCUUAGCUCAGUUGGUUAGAGCGUGGUGCUAAUAUCGAGGAUGAUAUACUCGCUAUGUAGUGGAGAACAUGUAGCAAUACUUACUAACGCCAAGGUCGCAGGUUCGACCCCUGCAGGGACCA
Non-coding RNA from Ascodesmis nigricans, 126 nucleotides. NCBI's taxonomy places the organism in Eukaryota, Fungi, Ascomycota, Pezizomycetes, Pezizales, Ascodesmidaceae. The record is from the annotation of a GenBank genome assembly.